CAAUAGCGUAUAUUAAUGUUGUUGCAGUUAAAAAGCUCGUAGUUGGAUUUCUGGGAGGGUGCCGAUGUCCGCGUAACGUGAGUGCAGCGGCGCCCUCUCAUCCUUCUGUUAGCGUCUCUUGGUAUUCAUUUACUGGUUUCGGGCUCAGAUAUUUUACCUUGAGAAAAUUAGAGUGUUUCAGGCAGGCUUGCGCCGGAAUACAUUAGCAUGGAAUAAUAGAAUAGGACGUUUUGCUCCUUUGUUGGUUUGAGAGCAUAGCGUAAUGAUUAAUAGGGAUAGUUGGGGGCAUUAGUAUUUAAUUGUCAGAGGUGAAAUUCUCGGAUUUGUUAAAGACUAACUUAUGCGAAAGCAUUUGCCAAGGAUGUUUUCAUUAA
RNAcentral lists this ribosomal RNA (374 nucleotides) under uncultured eukaryote. RNAcentral describes it as "partial 18S ribosomal RNA". It matches the Rfam family "Eukaryotic small subunit ribosomal RNA", at positions 592 to 976 of the family's 1831-position model. The record is from RNAcentral.